UACGGGGGGGGCAAGCGUUGUUCGGAAUUACUGGGCGUAAAGGGCUCGUAGGCGGCCAACUAAGUCGGACGUGAAAUCCCCAGGCUCAACCUGGGAACUGCGUCUGAUACUGGAUGGCUUGAAUUCGGGAGAGGGAUGCAGAAUUCCAGGUGUAGCAGUGAAAUGCGUAGAUAUCGAGAGGAACACCGGUGGCGAAGGCGGCAUCCUGGACGAUUCCUGACUCUGAAACACGAAAGCUAGGGGAGCAAACGGG
Molecule: ribosomal RNA, 253 nt
Filed under: uncultured bacterium
Lineage: Bacteria
Description: partial 16S ribosomal RNA
Rfam family: Bacterial small subunit ribosomal RNA
Source: RNAcentral